Non-coding RNA from Podarcis lilfordi (Lilford's wall lizard), 6048 nucleotides. The record is from the annotation of a GenBank genome assembly. NCBI's taxonomy places the organism in Eukaryota, Metazoa, Chordata, Lepidosauria, Squamata, Lacertidae.
UAGGGGAACCUUGCCCCGCUCAAACUUGUAACAGUACUAUAGUACAGGCAUGUAAAAACCCACCUUUCUACUGGCUUGUAGCAAGUUUUAAUCAACAUAGGAAAUCCAGAAGCUUAAUUUGGGCUAAUUUGGGCUAUGAAAAAAGAGUUUGUUGAUUGGGAGUUUACUUGCAAGUCUGUUGUAGAAUGGAGUGAGCUGCUUUUGUGUUCUGUAAUAGACCCAGUGGUGAAAGUCAUUCCCUGGUCCUCUUCAUUCAGGAAUUUUCUCCUGGUGCCCCUGAAGCAGUUAAGAUGUUUGGGUUCCUUUUCCUGCUGCCUUUUCACUUGCUGUUUUUCUUAAACUGGGCUUUCCUUUCUUGCUCUGGCUAAUGUCACGAGUUCAUGGAGGGCUUAUAUGCAGAACAUACAUAUUUCUACCAGGAAAGGGAACAGGUGCUGCUGGAGUCUUUUACCCACACAUGAAGUAUUGCAGAGUACAUCUGUCAUCGCAUGAAUGUCAGCAGGAGACACUCACAUCUGUUUCCCUGUAGCAUUUGUUAUCAAGAAGGAAGGGAUUGUGGGGAGGAAGGGAGGGUGGGGAGAGAAAUAAGAGCUCAGCAUGUCACUUAAGCAAAGCAGUGGCACUUUGCCAUCAGAGUGUUUGUUCAGGACUUCAGGUGGUCUUCUGUCCCCAACGUUUUCCACUUAUUGAAUGCAGGCAUCAUUUCUUGGCCCUUGGGGUGCGUAUGUGAAAUGUGGGUGGGUGGGAAAUGGGUUGUCAUGUGUCACAGCACUGUAAUUUCUCCACCCUCCUCUUCUCUUUGGCAUGCUGUAGUGCUGCCGAACAGCAGUUCCUGCUUGUUUUGGCAAUGAGGAGAGCAUCUGCUUCAAGAAAGGCACAUGGAAAAACUUCCACUUUGGCUCUGUCGGCUGACUCACAGUUCUGAACUUGCAACUCUCCCAAGUACCUUUCAUGCAAGGAAGUGAGUGAAAGAUGAAGGGCAUGGGGGAUAGUGGGAAACAUCAUAGAAGGGCCAAGCAGAGGCAAGGUGCUGUGUAACACUAGACUUGGGAAACCAGUGAAGCCCCCGCCAGUUUUUCCAGCCCCCAACUCAUAUCCAGAAACCCCAGGACAGUUUCUAUAUAAAACUAUUUUUUCUUUGUGUUUACUAGCUGGAUUGUUGGAGAUGCUAGUUUUUAUUUAGGAGACAGCCGAGGCUCUUUUGGAGUGCAUUUUCGGCUAAUUGGGCAAGUCUAUUCUCCUCUUUUGGCUGAUGUUCUUUUGAUGGUUCUUGUCUCUUGUAAUCAUGUAAAAAGGCCUUUUGGUUCCACACAAACCAGACAGUGCCUCUAAAAAGGUUGCUCCCAAGUCCUUUUUCUGUCUGGAAGAGGGCAAAAGACUGGAUAAUGCUGUAUUGACUGAUUCAUGAAGACCAAUAAGUCUCCCACUUCUUUUGCAAGUUUGCCUCUUUUUAAUUUUUUUUGUCUGUUCUUUGUUAACACUUAAAAAUUCCAAGCACACCUCAAGGGUUCGGGUUGGGAGUAAAAGUAGGGCAAUUGCUUGAUAGAAAUUUUCUUUUCUUUUAAAAGGCCAGUACGCCUCAACAAAUCCUGAGUCAAAACCUGCUUUUUGUAAAGAUUAAUCUCCUUUCCUAGUACAAUGGGCCAUCCUUAGCACAAAAGUUCCUUUUACAUAAUUUUCCCAGCAAAGAAAUGGGGUUGCCCAUUUAGACAGGGUGCUCCCCAGGAACCUCUGUGUCAAGGGAAAUGGUAAGUGAAAGAGAGAACACAUCAGUAGUGGAAACAUAUUUCAGGCAAAUCCAUGCCAGCAUCAUGUUUUUGCAAGGCUGAAUUCAUAUUUUAGAUUCCCAAGCAGUGCCAUCAAAUUUUUAGGGGGGCAGGAGUCUCUGUUUGGGGUGGGAACAGUUAACAAGGAAGGAGAUUCUAUCUCCAUUAUCAUUCCUAGGCCUAGGGCGCCUCUCCAGAUGUUUUUUUAAUUGGGUAUUCAUGACAAUUUGUACUCAUGAUAGUACUGGGGUGGUUAUAUGCAAUCCUGCUUUCAACAUGGUUAACACCUGCAACAUAACAGCUUCAUUUCCAGUCAGUGCAUGUCCCUUUGCUUCCUGCUGAAGUCCUGUAACAAAGUUCCAGUUUAUGUUGUCCUGCUUUUGUUGCAACAACUUUUGUUGUUGAAGAGCAUCCCUUCAAAUGGUCAUAAUGCAGUAUAUGACUGUUUAAGUUAUAUAGUACCUUGCUUGAGAUAAAGUCCCAGUUGCCAGACCCAGAAAAUAUUUGUAAUCCCAACCUACAACAGCAGACUACAUUUGAAAGGUUUUUUUUCUUUUAUGUUUUUAUUUACCUUCCCUUCUCUCUAUGCAGCUUCCUUCUCUCUCUUUCUCUCUUUCCCCCCUCCUCCAAAGAUGCUGCUGGUGUGAUCCACCAAAGAUAAGGUCAGAGGCAUCAGUAUUUGGAACCUAGAAUGCGUCAUUGUCUUCCUUUGCAUUCGCUGCAGUUAAUUCACAUGAUCAGGUAGUUGUAAAGUUGACGGUGUGCCUGGGGGAGAGGCAGGCAAAGUGAAGAUGUGUGCAUCUGUUCUUUUCCAGGCCUGAUGCCGAGGGACAAGGUGAGUGACAGUCCAUGUGAACCUCCAUAGCAGAGACCUGGUGUGGCAUUUAAAGGCAUCUCUGCUCUCGGAUGUGAUUGAUGGCAGCUUGCAGGCCUGAGCGGCUGCAGGAGCAAAUACGUCGAUGUGGAAUAGCUGGGAAAGGGCAGCCAUGAAGGUCAUGAAGCGCCUAGGAAGCCAUUGGGGUGGGGUUGGGGGGAGAGCAUCUGGGGAUAACAGUGGCAGGUUUGCUGCAGCUGGGUGUUCUUUAUGUUCCUGCAGAGCAGCUGGGGCUUUGCUGUUCUUUAGCUGGUGCCUGGAGGGGUGGGUGUCAGGCUUGGCUGGGUUUAGUGGCCUUUUAAAAGACAGAGGAAUCCUGGACUGGUGGACAUCUGUGUGCAGCACACCAUUGUAUGGGCAGCAUGUAAUAAGAAUUGAGUGGCAAUGUGAUAGCAUUAAAAGCUUGUUCUUGCCCGGACGGUGUAUACAAACAAGCAUUCUGUAUGGAAUUGCAUAGUGUAAUUGGUUUUCAGCAGCCUUGGCUAACCUGGUUCCUUCUAAAUGUUUUGGACUACAACUCCCAUCAGUCCCACCCAGCACGUGCCAGCAAGAGCUCAUGGGCGUUGUCCAAAGCAUCUAUAAGGAGCCAGGUUGGCAAAGUUUGUUUAGAGGAUGAGCUUGAGAUUUUGCUCAUGCUCAGUGCCUGGCUUGUUAACAUCUUGGGGUUUGAGAAGUAAUUCUGCACUCAAUUGGCUAUUGUGGAUGAUUUGAGAGCUGCUUUGCCCACACAAAUUAAGUUGCUUAUCACCUGUUCUAAAUGGGAGCUGGUUUCUUUGCAAAUACAGUUUUCUGCAGUGCACUUAAUUUUCUGCUGGUGCCAUAUUGUGAUCUGGGUUGCAUGGGUUGAUCUUUUGGAUGGCCCUAGGAAGUAGCUGAGCUCAGGUGAACUUUGGCUCUUUUCUGUGGUUUUGUGUUCUGCCAGUCACGUUCCAUAAGAACAUAAGUAGAGCCCUGGUGGAUCAGGCCUAUGGCCCAUCUAGUCUAGCAUUUAGUUCUCACAGUGCCAACCAGAUCCCUAUGGGAAACCUGCAACCAGGAUCUGAGCACAAGAACACUUCCCCUCCUGCAGUUUCCAGCAGCUGAUAUUCAGAAGCACUACAGCCUCCAACUGUGGAGGCAGAACAUAGCUUCCAUCGUGUCUAGUACCCAUUGAGAUCCUUUACCUCCAUGAAUAUCUCAAAAUUUUGUAUCACUUUGGAUCAGUGUUUCAAGGUCAGCAAAGAUUCUGAAAUGGCUUCUUAUUAGCUUCUUUCCCAUGCAGAAGUUUUAUAAAUUAGAAUGAACACUUUAGAAUAAUGGUGCAAUAUUCCAUUCACCAUAUUAGCAUAUAUACCACUUCACUGCUUUUUUGAUAGAUGGUAGAGCCAUUUAGUCUAAACUUGCCUUCCUUCCAUUUCUUUCCUGAAUUUUUAUGGAGAAUCUGGGCAACAUUAUUGCCAACCUCUUGCAUUCUAGUUGUUUCUGUGUUAUCCUCUCAUGUUUUGUCAGAACUGAUUUGAGGUGAUUGUUUUUCACUUAACAUGUAAUUAUAGUGUCAGUCUGGCAGUACGGACUGGCAAAGAAACACUGAGGUUUUUAUUACUAUUGUUUCUAUAGUUAGAAGUUUCAUCCUUGUAGAUUCUGGUGAUGAAGUGCCCCUAAAGUAGUGAGGUCCUGUUUCCUGUGUGUGUGCUAAUUGCUUGUGUCCUCUCAGGUUAUUUCCUUUUGAUUUUUUAAUUGUGAAAUAGUGCUCCUUUGCAGGUAUAUACUUACCUGCACACCUCUCUUUGUUGAUGUGAACACCGUGGCUAAUGAUGUUUAUAUUCACAGCUUCCCUACCACACCACUGUGGACUAAGGCAAUUGAGGGAGUAUCACUGAAGGAGUUCAACAAAUUGUUUUUUGACAUGAUUUUGAUGAGCCCUCUCCUUUAUGAGAGUAGGCAGACAGGGUGAUGUUUUUUACCCUAGGACCUCUAUAUUCCUGAUAUUCUUCCAAGACCCAAGUUAUUGAGCCAGAGCUUCCACAGCUGCUGUCUGCCAUGAACCAUCAUUGGCAGAAUUGGCAGCAGCAGAGACCAUCUUGUCUGUCUCUAGAGUUGUAGGAACAGGAAAGGACAGUGAAGAAAGAGCUGUGUGUGGAGGGUGGCCUUUCGCCCAUCCUCUGGAUCCCCUGGGAAACUCAACAAACCUGCUGUACCUGGAACUGGGUGUGGAGAGUGCAGCUGAAUGGAACACAGCUGUGAGCAGCAUGAGGAAGUACUUUGAGCAAGUACCACCUUAAGCCUGUCAUAAAAAACAAGUCUAAAGAGAAAGACUAGGGUGAUGUUUGCUGUUUCCAGGAACUCUUCUCAUUAUCAGACUUUUGUGGGUGUGCUGGGAGUUUGUUUCGACGCAUAAGUAAGGCUGAUAGGUAGGGUGUGUCAGAAGGACAAUGAAUUCAUAUCGAUAGAUAUAUAUUAGUAACUUUGUAUUAAUGUAUUGUUUUUAUAUGUAGCUGUGUAUUUUUGCAAUAUUUUGUUUGUUUUGUCUGUUGUUGCUUCAGUUUUCUGUACACUGCUUAAAGAUACUUUUAAUAUAUUAAGUGGUAUAGAAAUUAAGUCAUCAUCAUCUCUCUGUAGGGAUCAGCAACUGGCUAAUUAAGGAGCAAUUCAGUCAUUAAAGCCACACCUUGCUGAAUAGGAAGUAGUCAUAAGAGAGAAGCUACUUAUCAAAGUUACAGGAGAUCUUUGCUGAAUGGGACUUAAUGUCUAAAUAGACAUUGUAGAAGGACCUUGUCUAUGGGACAGGCCAUGUCAGAUAAUACAGAGCCAUAUUAAAUGCCAUGUGGCACCACAAUUUUAAUUCUGCUUGUAGAAUUUAGUGUGAAGUUAGGAGAAUCCAAAUGUUCUUUGAUUUUAGCAUAGAUUGAAAAAUAUGAUCCAAAUUAGGGGUGACCAUCCUCUUUUUCUGUCAAGGGCCAUAUUCCAUUUGGGGUAAUCUGUUGGGGGGGGCUGCAAGGUCAUAGUAGGCGGGGCCAAAGUCAAAACUGGGUGAGGCAAGAACAAAGGUGGGUGAGCCCCACUUUUCUCUCUUUUUGUCACCUCUUUCCUCCCUGAUCCCCCCUGCCGGCACCCACAUGAAGUUGGGUCAAAGGUGUCAUCUGACACUAGAGCUUCAAGUUGCCCAUUUCAGAUCCAAGUGAAUGCAUGUGAUGACUCACCAGGAUUUAUGGUCAGCGUAAUGGUGUCAAGGGGAUAGGAACUAGAGGAUUUCUAGAGCUGAAGUUCCAGUGUCACAGACACUCUUGAUGCCUUGAUGCAGCAGCCCUCCUCUUGCAGCAAGUAGUGCAUUAAAAAAAGAGUAGUGCAUUGAUUUUAAAAAAGAGGGGUUGAUGCUUGGGAUGCAGCUCCUGCCUCUCUGUUGAUAUUUUGUGGGAAACCAACGUAAUU